This 828-nucleotide ribosomal RNA is filed under the name Psora decipiens. RNAcentral describes it as "LSU rRNA". It matches the Rfam family "Eukaryotic large subunit ribosomal RNA", at positions 95 to 938 of the family's 3401-position model. The record is from RNAcentral. Lineage: Eukaryota; Fungi; Ascomycota; Lecanoromycetes; Lecanorales; Psoraceae.
AAAGCGGCAACAGCUCAAAUUUGAAAUCUGACCCUUUGGGGUCCGAGUUGUAAUUUGCAGAGGGUGUUUCGGGCACGGUGCCGGUUUAAGUCCUUUGGAACAGGGCGUCAUAGAGGGUGAGAACCCCGUAUGUGACCGGUCGCCAAACCCAUGUGAAACCCCUUCGACGAGUCGAGUUGUUUGGGAAUGCAGCUCAAAAUGGGUGGUAAAUUUCAUCUAAAGCUAAAUAUUGGCCAGAGACCGAUAGCGCACAAGUAGAGUGAUCGAAAGAUGAAAAGCACUUUGGAAAGAGAGUCAAACAGCACGUGAAAUUGUUGAAAGGGAAGCGCUUGCGACCAGACCUGCUCGCGGGUGAUCAGCGGUGCUUUUCGCGCCGUGCACUCAUCCGCGAUCAGGCCAGCAUCGGUUCAGGCGGCCGGAUAAAGACUCGGAGAAUGUAGCUCCCUCCGGGGAGUGUUAUAGCUCCUUGUGCAAUACGGCCAGCCGGGACCGAGGACCGCGCUUCGGCUAGGAUGCUGGCGUAAUGGUCGUAAGCGACCCGUCUUGAAACACGGACCAAGGAGUCUAACAUCUGUGCGAGUGUUUGGGCGUCAAACCCAUGCGCGCAAUGAAAGUGAACGUGAGGUGGGAACCCUUUCGGGGGCGCACCAUCGACCGAUCCAGAUGUCUUCGGAUGGAUUUGAGUAAGAGCACAGCUGUUGGGACCCGAAAGAUGGUGAACUAUGCCUGAAUAGGGUGAAGCCAGAGGAAACUCUGGUGGAGGCUCGCAGCGGUUCUGACGUGCAAAUCGAUCGUCAAAUUUGGGUAUAGGGGCGAAAGACUAAUCGA